RNAcentral lists this ribosomal RNA (500 nucleotides) under uncultured bacterium. RNAcentral describes it as "partial 16S ribosomal RNA". It matches the Rfam family "Bacterial small subunit ribosomal RNA", at positions 28 to 523 of the family's 1533-position model. The record is from RNAcentral.
GAUGAACGCUAGCGACAGGCUUAACACAUGCAAGUCGAGGGGCAGCAUGAGGUAGCAAUACCUUGAUGGCGACCGGCGCACGGGUGAGUAACGCGUAUGCAACCUGCCCGAUACCGGGGUAUAGCCCAUGGAAACGUGGAUUAACACCCCAUAGUACUUUUAUCCUGCAUGGGAUGUGAGUUAAAUGUUCAAGGUAUCGGAUGGGCAUGCGUCCUAUUAGUUAGUUGGCGGGGUAACAGCCCACCAAGACGAUGAUAGGUAGGGGUUCUGAGAGGAAGGUCCCCCACAUUGGAACUGAGACACGGUCCAAACUCCUACGGGAGGCAGCAGUGAGGAAUAUUGGUCAAUGGACGUAAGUCUGAACCAGCCGAGUCGCGUGAGGGAAGACUGCCCUAUGGGUUGUAAACCUCUUUUAUAAGGGAAGAAUAAGUUCUACGUGUAGAUGAUGCCUGUACCUUAUGAAUAAGCAUCGGCUAACUCCGUGCCAGCAGCCGCAGUAA